This is a long non-coding RNA of Glycine soja, 2017 nucleotides long. RefSeq lists it as uncharacterized. The record is from RefSeq and is a predicted model, not a curated record. The transcript is spliced from 5 exons. Lineage: Eukaryota; Viridiplantae; Streptophyta; Magnoliopsida; Fabales; Fabaceae.
UCCACCCCUUUACUGCCAUUUGCAAUUGCUAGCAGAAACCCUCCUCGCUCGUGUUAUAAAAUACACAUUCACAUUCACAUUCUCAACUCAACCUCCAUCUCAUUUCCACCGCAACUCACUCCCUCUCUCCCUCUCUCUAAUUCAUUCGUAAUACACAGGAGGAGUCUCAUGCUUUUUGGAGAGCAAACAAAUUGUAUAUAGUAACUGUUAUAAAUCAAUGCUCACUUGUUGAUGGCACCACCCUCAUUGGUGACAUCUCUGCCGGAGCAGUCUCAUAUUCCAUUAGCUUGUGGAGUGGUGUUGUCGCAUUUAUCAUUUGGGACUGGCCAUGAGAAUAUGAAUAAACUGGGAUUAUAACGGUGCUUGGUAGAACACAGAGCUAAAAGCUAAGUCGGUUACAAGAGUAUCACUAUUAAUAUUAUGAGCACAGUGAGCAACCGUCUGUCAAAAGUUGAUAACCGGCAAAGAAUCAGUUUCAGCCCCUGCUUGAUUUAAGCAACAAUAAGGUUGACAAAUAAUCAGUUUCAGCACUGCUUGAACUUAAGCAACAAUAAGGUUGGAUUAAUUCAUUUGGUAUUUAUCAUGUGAUUAAGUCUCUGAUAGUUAAUUUUUUCUUUUUGAAAUUGCCUUUUGCCUUAUUUCUCUAUAAGGUUGACAAAUAAUCAGUUUCAGCACUGCUUGAACUUAAGCAACAAUAAGGUUGGAUUAAUUCAUUUGGUAUUUAUCAUGUGAUUAAGUCUCUGAUAGUUAAUUUUUUCUUUUUGAAAUUGCCUUGUGCCUUAUUUCUCUCUUUAUGAAUUUUUGCGAAUUCAUCUAUAUGUUGAGAGACAUGAUGAGUUUUUCAUUGCUCCGUUUUUGGGGAAUCACAAUGACUGAUAACAAUUGCCAAUUUCUGAUCUUCAAAUGCAGAUAAUUUGUCUUUUUUUGAAUUUCUAGAACAUUUUGUUGCAGUAGAGAAUUUUGCGUGUUAAUGGCUCUGGUUUUCUGCUUUUUGUCGAAGUAUUGGUAUUCUUCUUAAUGUGAGUGUAGAUUUUAUCAUGCAUGAGAAUCGUUGCUAUAUAUAUUCUUUGCAAUCUCUAUUUUUUCAAUUCUGUAGAUGUGUUGCAAUUGAAAUUCAUUUAUUAUAUUGUUUUAGCUUUUGAUUUUGGUUUCUGCAGUUCUGCAUGUGAAAGUUAAUCAAACACUGCAUUUUAUUCUGCAUUUUAUGAUUAUAUGAUGUAAAAAAAAUUUAUACUGGGUGUAUUUUAAUGAAUUGAAUUCUAUUGGAACAAUGCCUAAAUUUUCAAUAUAUCGCGUAGAAUAUAAUGCGUUUCCAAAAAUGGUGUAUAUAUAACACACGAAGGUGAUAUAAGCCGCUUGUUUGAAUGAGUGAGGUCUAAUGUCCCUAAUACUGAGUUUAUAUAUUGUUUGGACAAAAAGCGGUGUCUAAGUUCUAUGGUUAGUGACCUCGCAGUCUUGCUCCCAAACCUAACACAACUCGUAGUCUUGCACUCGGCGCAGCAGCCAAUACUCAAGCUUGCUCAUCCUUGGCCUGAGUGGUUCCAACUCAUGAAGUGCUUGCUCGACAAGGGAUACUUCUGUCGUGAAGAGGGAAAAAUGUUAUGCAAUGCUGGUAUGGGCAUGAAGGAUUUCAACGUCAUUAGAACCAAGUGUGCCUCAAUUUCGGUAGAGACCACUUUCAUCUUUUAAGGAGAUUUUUUAGAUAAAGGAGGGUAUUUCAACAAAUAAUGCAUGCUGGGAAAUUGGAGAAUCACCGGUUAAGUUAGUGGGCUGAACAUUAGUUAAUGGCCUUUUCGGAAACCUAUUAUGUUCAUAUUGUUUUUAUUGGUCUAAAAUUUCCCACGUAGCCUUCAGUGUGUAGAUUGAAAUAACUCAUUCUCCAGAGAAUCUCACUUUCAUGCUAGAGAUGUCAUUUUUGGUUCUCCGAGUUGUGUAAUGGGAGGAGAAGGUAAAGGAAUUGGAUUGGCUAAGUGGAAAUUUUAUUUUAUAUAUAUACAUGAGACUUGCCAUUAUAUUA